Molecule: ribosomal RNA, 253 nt
Filed under: uncultured bacterium
Lineage: Bacteria
Description: partial 16S ribosomal RNA
Rfam family: Bacterial small subunit ribosomal RNA
Source: RNAcentral
UACAGAGGAUGCAAGCGUUAUCCGGAAUGAUUGGGCGUAAAGCGUCUGUAGGUGGCUUUUUAAGUCCGCCGUCAAAUCCCAGGGCUCAACUCUGGACAGGCGGUGGAAACUACACGGCUAGAGUGCGUUCGGGGCAGAGGGAAUUCCUGGUGUAGCGGUGAAAUGCGUAGAGAUCAGGAAGAACACCGGUGGCGAAGGCGCUCUGCUAGGCCGCAACUGACACUGAGGGACGAAAGCUAGGGGAGCGAAUGGG